This 475-nucleotide ribosomal RNA is filed under the name Microhyla ornata (ornate rice frog). Its description in RNAcentral is "partial large subunit ribosomal RNA". The stretch from base 166 to 475 matches the Rfam family "Bacterial large subunit ribosomal RNA", at positions 569 to 1030 of the family's 2925-position model. The record is from RNAcentral. Lineage: Eukaryota; Metazoa; Chordata; Amphibia; Anura; Microhylidae.
CUAAAAACUUAGCUCUUCUACAUCAAAUGCCCACACCUCUUAACUAUUAUUAAAUAAAACAUUUUAUCCAUUUAGUAACGGCGAUUAAAAAAUGUCUAGAAGCUAUAGAAACCAGUACCGCAAGGGAAAAGUGAAAUAAAAAUGAAAUAUUGUAAAGCAUAACAUAGCAGAGACUACCCCUCGUACCUUUUGCAUCAUGGUCUAACUAGUCUAACCAAGCACAAUGCAUUUUAAGUUUGACAUCCCGAAACUAGGUGAGCUACUUAAGAACAGCCUUCAGGGCUAACCCGUCUGUGUUGCAAAAGAGUGGGAAGAUUCUUUAGUAGAGGUGACAGACCUAUCGAACCUAGAGAUAGGUGGUUAUUCAAGAAAAGGAUUUUAGUCCUACCUAAGGUUCCACAUAUAUUAUAAUACACAACAAACCUUUAGAGCUAUUCAAAUAAGGUACAGCCUAUUGAUACAGGAUACAACCUCA